GAUGAACGCUAGCUACAGGCUUAACACAUGCAAGUCGCGGGGCAGCAUGGGGGUUGCCUGCAAUCCCCGAUGGCGACCGGCGCACGGGUGAGUAACGCGUAUCCAACCUGCCCUUCACCACGGGAUAACCCGGCGAAAGUCGGACUAAUACCGUAUGUUGUCCAUUGACGGCAUCCGAUUUGGACGAAAGGCUUGGCGGUGAGGGAUGGGGAUGCGUCCGAUUAGCCAGACGGCGGGGUAACGGCCCACCGUGGCUACGAUCGGUAGGGGUUCUGAGAGGAAGGUCCCCCACACUGGAACUGAGACACGGUCCAGACUCCUACGGGAGGCAGCAGUGAGGAAUAUUGGUCAAUGGGCGUAAGCCUGAACCAGCCAAGUAGCGUGCAGGAUGACGGCCCUAUGGGUUGUAAACUGCUUUUAUGCGGGGAUAAAGUGGCCCACGUGUGGGCUUUUGCAGGUACCGCAUGAAUAAGGACCGGCUAAUUCCGUG
This 490-nucleotide ribosomal RNA is filed under the name uncultured bacterium. RNAcentral's name for it is "partial 16S ribosomal RNA". It matches the Rfam family "Bacterial small subunit ribosomal RNA", at positions 28 to 507 of the family's 1533-position model. The record is from RNAcentral.